Molecule: ribosomal RNA, 449 nt
Filed under: uncultured bacterium
Lineage: Bacteria
Description: bacterial SSU rRNA
Rfam family: Bacterial small subunit ribosomal RNA
Source: RNAcentral
GAGCGGAUGACGGGAGCUUGCUCCUUGAUUCAGCGGCGGACGGGUGAGUAAUGCCUAGGAAUCUGCCUGGUAGUGGGGGACAACGUUUCGAAAGGAACGCUAAUACCGCAUACGUCCUACGGGAGAAAGCAGGGGACCUUCAGGCCUUGCGCUAUCAGAUGAGCCUAGGUCGGAUUAGCUAGUUGGUGGGGUAAUGGCUCACCAAGGCGACGAUCCGUAACUGGUCUGAGAGGAUGAUCAGUCACACUGGAACUGAGACACGGUCCAGACUCCUACGGGAGGCAGCAGUGGGGAAUAUUGGACAAUGGGCGAAAGCCUGAUCCAGCCAUGCCGCGUGUGUGAAGAAGGUACUUCGGAUUGUAAAGCACUUUAAGUUGGGAGGAAGGGCAGUAAGCUAAUACCUUGCUGUUUUGACGUUACCGACAGAAUAAGCACCGGCUAACUCUGUG